This 497-nucleotide ribosomal RNA is filed under the name uncultured bacterium. RNAcentral describes it as "partial 16S ribosomal RNA". It matches the Rfam family "Bacterial small subunit ribosomal RNA", at positions 28 to 507 of the family's 1533-position model. The record is from RNAcentral.
GAUGAACGCUGGCGGCGUGCCUAAUACAUGCAAGUCGAGCGAACAGAUGAGGAGCUUGCUCCUCUGACGUUAGCGGCGGACGGGUGAGUAACACGUGGAUAACCUACCUAUAAGACUGGGAUAACUUCGGGAAACCGGAGCUAAUACCGGAUAAUAUAUUGAACCGCAUGGUUCAAUAGUGAAAGACGGUUUUGCUGUCACUUAUAGAUGGAUCCGCGCCGCAUUAGCUAGUUGGUAAGGUAACGGCUUACCAAGGCGACGAUGCGUAGCCGACCUGAGAGGGUGGUCGGCCACACUGGAACUGAGACACGGUCCAGACUCCUACGGGAGGCAGCAGUAGGGAAUCUUCCGCAAUGGGCGAAAGCCUGACGGAGCAACGCCGCGUGAGUGAUGAAGGUCUUCGGAUCGUAAAACUCUGUUAUUAGGGAAGAACAAAUGUGUAAGUAACUAUGCACGUCUUGACGGUACCUAAUCAGAAAGCCACGGCUAACUACGUG